AAACUGAUCUCCCCGUGAAGAAGCGGGGAUACAAAUAUAAGACGAGAAGACCCCAUGGAGCUUUAAACCCAACAGCACCCGUUUAUUUUCAUCCUCACAUAAGUUAGGUUAUGCCUGUUUGGUUUUAGGUUGGGGUGACCACGGAGUAUAAAACAACCUCCAUGAAAAAAGGACCAAAAAUCCUUAUUAGAGAAAGACAUUUCUAAAAUUAAUAAAUUAAUUUUUAAUGAUCCGAUAUUCGAUCAACGAACCAAGUUACCCUGGGGAUAACAGCGCAAUCCACUUCAAGAGCUCCUAUCGACAAGUGGGUUUACGACCUCGAUGUUGGAUCAGGGUAUCCUAGUGGUGCAGCAGCUACUAACGGUUCGUUUGUUCAACGAUUAAAACCCU
This 390-nucleotide ribosomal RNA is filed under the name Boophis elenae. Its description in RNAcentral is "partial 16S ribosomal RNA". It matches the Rfam family "Bacterial large subunit ribosomal RNA", at positions 2039 to 2597 of the family's 2925-position model. The record is from RNAcentral. Lineage: Eukaryota; Metazoa; Chordata; Amphibia; Anura; Mantellidae.